This 174-nucleotide non-coding RNA is filed under the name Nitrospira sp. RNAcentral describes it as "6S RNA". It matches the Rfam family "6S / SsrS RNA". From Rfam's summary of the family: E. coli 6S RNA was the first non coding RNA to be sequenced, but its function was unknown until recently. It consists of 184 nucleotides that fold into an extended hairpin structure with a large single-stranded internal bulge. Lineage: Bacteria; Pseudomonadati; Nitrospirota; Nitrospiria; Nitrospirales; Nitrospiraceae. The record is from RNAcentral.
AGCUGCCUGCCUUGUUGGUGAUAGAAAUUAAAAUUUGUUCCGACCAUUUUGAUCCUGGGAGCCAGCGUUAACCAGGGGUUGAGUGCCCGCAAGGGAAACCUGAACCUGCUUACAAGGCGCCCACCUAUAAACAAGGGAUUAAAGUUUAUUUCUACACGGCAAGGUGGGAUCCAA